AUGGCGUACGACGGCAUGCAGUUCCGCGACCCUCCCAUGCACCACGACAACGACGAGCAGCAACAUGGAUGGGAGUGGACUGCAUCCCACGUCGUACGUUCACGCAGCAAGCCACCACCCCGCACCCUGCGGUCUGCUCCCUCGCCGGUGGUGGAUCCAAGCUCAUAUGCGCCCAUGCAGUCCACUGCAUCCGUGAAGUUCGGUGAUGUUCUAUAA
This 216-nucleotide ribosomal RNA is filed under the name Triticum aestivum (bread wheat). RNAcentral's name for it is "partial small subunit ribosomal RNA". Lineage: Eukaryota; Viridiplantae; Streptophyta; Magnoliopsida; Poales; Poaceae. The record is from RNAcentral.